CAUGGAUGAGGAGGAAAGAUGAAGAAGAAGCUAGACCAGUGGAGAGAGAUGGUUCGGCAGAGGCGUUGAGAAAUUCAGGGAGGGUUGACGACCAAAACAAUAUGGGACUGGAUCAAAAUGAAAAUGGAAACUCCGGUAACAUAGGUCAUAAUCGAACAGAGGUAGGUGGCAGAAAAUUAGAAAUACCCAUUCUCUCGGGUGUGACCAUUAUGGGUAGGUGUUUAGAGUGAAGCGUUACUUCAAUGUGAAUGGAAUACCAGAACUAGAGAGAUUGCCAUGUGUAUGGACAGCGACGCCGUCAACUAGAUGGAUGGAGGUGAGAGCUCCGAUCACCACUUGGCCGGCCUUCAAAUUGGUGCUCCUUCACCGGUUCAGUGGGUCACAGGAGGGUAGCCCUUACAAAGCCUUGAUAGGAAUCCAGCAAAAUGGGACGGCGGAAGAAUUUCGACGAAGAUUUGAGGCUAUAUCUGUGCCACUAGUGGAAGAGAAAGAAGUUUUGAUGGCGGCUUUCCUUAAUGGACUAAAGGCUGAAUUCGGGCCAUAAUCAGGUUAGCCCAACUUGGGAAUUUAGUUUAAUUAUUGGAUUUGGCCCAAAGGAUUGAGGAGAAAAACUGGGCUUUGGAGGAAUUGAAGGGUGGACCUGGUACAUAUGGGAGAUCAGUUAGUGGGCGUGGGCUAGGGUCUUUUGAAGGUGGAAUGGGCCAAGUUUUUAAUUCAACUAGGUUUGGACCAGGUAGAGCACAUGGGUCGGUGGAAAUCAGGUCUAAGGCUCAUUUUAAUACAUUCCAGUUUGCAAACAACCGAGAGUUUCCUCCACCUUCUCCCAAACGCACUAUUCAUGGAACGAAAGACCACCAAGCACGACUAUAACCACCAAUCAACGUGGCAGUAGUGCAUCAAUCCAAAGACCCUCAAUUUUAGUCCCUAUUUUCAGCGAAAUCUUCCCUUCAGGCACAUGACAGAGAAAGAAAUUUAGAGGAAGAAGGGAAGGGGCUUAUGUUUUUGGUGUGAUGCGAAAUUUGCUCCAGGCCAUCGAUGUGGGGACAAGCAAUUUCAGAUAAUCCUAGUUGACGAAGAUGAAGAGGUUAUAGAGCAAAAUAAUGGAGGGAUUAAUAAUGAAAAUAUGGAAGAGCCACCAAAGCAGGGUGUUGAGCUUUCUCUCAGUUCUGUCGUAGGGAUAAAUGGGCCGAAGACGAUGAAAUUGAAGGGGUAUAUAUGAGAUGAAGAGGUGAUUGUGUUGGUGGAUAGUAGGGCUUUGCACAACUUUCUUACGAAGGAAAUAAUAGAGAAAUUGGGAAUUCUUGUUACAAAUACUCAAUCGUUUGGGGUUAAGAGUAGGAGAUGGAUACGAAGUAAAGAGUGAAGGUAAGUGUUGAGAGGUGUGCCUGAAGCUUCAAGGGGUUGUGAUCAUGUAGAAUUUUUUUCCUUUUGAAAUGAGUAGCGCAGACAUUGUGUUAGGAAUUGCUUGGUUAGAGACUUUUGGAGAAACUACUAUGGAUUGGAAGGAACAAGUUAUGAAGUUCAGGCUUGGUGAUGAUGCUGUGAAGUUAGUGGGCGACCUAUCCCUUAGCAAAACAAUUGUGUCCCUGAAAGCAAUGAUCAAGACGCUGCAAAGUGAAGGGCAAGUAUGUAUGGUUGAGUUCGGUCAGUUACAAAAGCAAUCUGAGUGUGAGAAAGAUGUUGAUAGCCAACUAUUGCCAAUGUUAGAAAGAUUUCAGAUCAUUUUUGAGCCGUUGUUCAGAUUACCACCCUGCAGACCACAAGAUCAGGCCAUAAGAUUGUUACCUGAAGCCUAACCCCCAAAUAUUAGACCUUAUAGGUACCCCUAUUACCAAAAAAGGAAAUUGAGAGAAUCAUUGAGAGAUGCUGGCAUCAAGACUCAUUAAGCCUAGUGUGAGUCCAUUCUCGAGCCCUGUUCUGUUAAUAAGAAGAAAGACGAGGGUUGGCGGUUUUGUGUCGAUUACAAAGCGUUGAACAAACUGACCAUUCUCGAUAAAUUCCCCAUCCCAACCAUUGAUGAGUUGUUCGACAAACUUGGGGGAGCUGCAAUAUUCUCAAAGCUCAAUCUAAAAUUGGGCUACCACAAAAUUCGAGUCUGGUCCAAGGAUACCCACAAGACAACCUUUAGAACUCACGAAGAGCACUAUGAGUUUAUGGUUUUGCCCUUCAGAUUGACCAACGCACCAUCAACAUUUCAAGCCUUGAUGAACGAGAUCUUUCGACCGUACCUCAAAAAAUGUAUGCUUGUCUUUUUCGACGAUAUCCUAGUGUACAACAAGAAAAUUAGUUAACAUGCAUAGCACCUGAGUAUCACCCUUCAAACUUUGAUGGAACACCAAUUGGUAGCUAACAAAAAAAAAUGUUUCUUUGGGCAACGACAGUUGGAGUAUCUCGACCAUGUGAUUUUAGUAGAGGGAGUGGCGGUUGACCCAUCAAAAAUCAAAAGCAUUGUCAAUUGGCUAGUUCUGAGAGAUGUGAGGGCUCUUAGAGGUUUCUUAGGGCUAAUCGGAUAUUAUAGGAGGUUCAUCUGAGGAUAUGGUAAGGUUGCUCUUCCUCUCACAACCUUAUUAAAAGGUUGAUUCAUUUAUGUGGAAUGAAGCAACUCAGGAAGCUUUUGAAGAAUUGAAGCGCAUCCUGACCAGUGUGCCGGUCUUAGCCAUGCCAGAUUUUUCCAAGCAGUUUGUGAUUGAAACAGACGCAUCAGGGAAUGGAUUAGGGGUUGUACUUACGCAAGAGGGAAGGCCUUUAGCUUUUUUGAGUAAGGGAUUAUCACUUCAAUCAAAACUCAAGUCAGUUUAUGAAUCGGAGUUAAUGGCUGUUGUCCUGGCUGUACAAAAGUGGAGACACGACUUGCUAGGAAAGCAUUUUGUCAUCUGAGUAGAUCAACAGAGUUUGCAUUUUUUAACCGAACAAAGAUUAUUGGGGGAAUACCAACAAAAGUGGGUGAUAAAGUUACUUGGGCUGGAUUUUGAGAUCCAGUAUAGACUGAGGCCUCAGAAUAAAGCGAUAGAUGCUUUGUCCAGACGACUAGAAGAUGUGAAGAACAAUGCCUUGUCAAUAGGUUGUUUCAAUGGAUUAGAUGAACUUGAAGAGGCAAUGCAGAAUGAUAGCAAGCUGCGCCAGAUUACUCAGCAACUUCUUACUGAACAGCAGAGUCGCCCUCCUUUUAAAUUAAUGGGUUGACACUUGAUGUAUCAAAACUGCCUAGUUGUACCGAGCAAGGGACCCCAUAUUCAAAAACUGUUACAUGACUUUCACUCAUCUCUGAUUGGAGGGCACUCUGGAUUUUUUAGGACCUACAAGUACCUUAUGAAUGUGGUCUACUGGGAAGGAAUGGAAAAAGACAUCUAGGCUUAUGUAGAUGUAUGUGCAGUGUGCCAAC
This is a long non-coding RNA of Pistacia vera, 3382 nucleotides long. RefSeq lists it as uncharacterized. NCBI's taxonomy places the organism in Eukaryota, Viridiplantae, Streptophyta, Magnoliopsida, Sapindales, Anacardiaceae. The transcript has 3 exons. The record is from RefSeq and is a predicted model, not a curated record.